RNAcentral lists this ribosomal RNA (460 nucleotides) under uncultured bacterium. RNAcentral describes it as "partial 16S ribosomal RNA". It matches the Rfam family "Bacterial small subunit ribosomal RNA", at positions 338 to 795 of the family's 1533-position model. The record is from RNAcentral.
CCUACGGGGGGCAGCAGUGAGGAAUAUUGGUCAAUGGACGAGAGUCUGAACCAGCCAAGUAGCGUGAAGGAUGACUGCCCUAUGGGUUGUAAACUUCUUUUAUGUGGGAAUAAAAUGUUCCACGUGUGGGAUUUUGUAUGUACCAUAUGAAUAAGGAUCGGCUAACUCCGUGCCAGCAGCCGCGGUAAUACGGAGGAUCCGAGCGUUAUCCGGAUUUAUUGGGUUUAAAGGGAGCGUAGGUGGAUUGUUAAGUCAGUUGUGAAAGUUUGCGGCUCAACCGUAAAAUUGCAGUUGAAACUGGCAGUCUUGAGUACAGUAGAGGUGGGCGGAAUUCGUGGUGUAGCGGUGAAAUGCUUAGAUAUCACGAAGAACUCCGAUUGCGAAGGCAGUUCACUGGACUGCAACUGACACUGAGGCUCGAAAGUGUGGGUAUCAAACAGGAUUAGAUACCCGUGUAGUC